Molecule: transfer RNA, 84 nt
Filed under: Canis lupus familiaris (dog)
Lineage: Eukaryota; Metazoa; Chordata; Mammalia; Carnivora; Canidae
Also listed under: 2 other names
Rfam family: tRNA
About the family: Transfer RNA (tRNA) molecules are approximately 80 nucleotides in length.
Source: Rfam by way of RNAcentral
GCCUGGGUGGCUCAGUUGGUUAAGCACCUGCCUUUGGCUCAGGUCAAGAACCCAGGGUCCUGGGAUUGAGUCCCGGAUCAGGCU